This 277-nucleotide long non-coding RNA is filed under the name Lathyrus oleraceus (garden pea). RNAcentral describes it as "Pisum sativum (pea) long non-coding RNA (PSAT_LNC006877)". The record is from RNAcentral. Lineage: Eukaryota; Viridiplantae; Streptophyta; Magnoliopsida; Fabales; Fabaceae.
AAAGGCCUUAUCAUGAGGGGAUCUCAUUCUGACCAUAAUGGAUGGGGAUGACUUACCGAUGUCGGUGAACUCAUAUAUAGUCAAAAAAUAUUAUUCCUAGAAAAAAAAAGUGAAUGCAAAGCCCGCUAGAUUGGCAUCCGUCAAAACCAAUCUAGGAAAAAAUGGUUAUCACGAUGGACAAAAAAAAAGAAAUUUCCAUGUAAAAUGUAGGGAUUAAACAAAAAAAUAUACAAGCUCGCUAAAUUGAAAAAUUGAAAGGGAGACUUAGGCAAAAAUG